GAGGACACAACCCGGGCUGCUUUCCAUUGCUGCAAAAAAUUCAGAGCCAUGAAGAACACACCACUCGCAGUCUGACCCUGGCCCUUCCAUACAACAUUGUUCCUAUUUUGCCACAAAGCCCAUAAGAUCAUUAGCAUAAGAGAGGCAUUUUCCACAGAAGCAGAAGAGAAGGCUAAAGAAAACCACUCAUUUAAAGAAGAUGCAGAAGGCGCAGGCCAACCCAACGGCGAGCUUAACCAG
RNAcentral lists this long non-coding RNA (240 nucleotides) under Manihot esculenta (cassava). Its description in RNAcentral is "long non-coding RNA (MESC_LNC009876)". Lineage: Eukaryota; Viridiplantae; Streptophyta; Magnoliopsida; Malpighiales; Euphorbiaceae. The record is from RNAcentral.